RNAcentral lists this ribosomal RNA (116 nucleotides) under Candidatus Woesebacteria bacterium RBG_16_34_12. The record is from RNAcentral. Lineage: Bacteria; Candidatus Woeseibacteriota.
UUCGGUCUCUUGAGCGAGGUGGAACGACCUGAUCCAUUCCGAACUCAGAAGUCAAACACCUCAGCGCUUACGAUAGUAUACCGGCGACGGUAUGCGAAAAUAGGUCGAGGCCGGGG